UGCGCAACUAAAUUAUUUGGCCCUUUGAAGGCAGGAAGAAAAUCGGGUAUUAUGUGUGUGUCUCCUCCCCCAGCCCCUUCACAAGUCCUUCCAUAAUGGGCAUUUGUUGGACUCGUAAAUGAGGCAGGAUAAGAUCAGAGCAUCAAAAAAUAGUCUUUAUGAGCCACCACCACCCUAAGCCACUUCGGCACCCAACUACAGAAACAGGAAGAUACAAAAACUCUGGUAUUCACUCCGAGCAUACCCGAGGUUGUUAUGGCACACAUAGCAACACUCAAACAAAUACAACAAAUAAGAGGCAGCCUGGCACAAUUGCUAAGGAGCCAGAUUCUCUGGGCACAAUCUCUCAGCUCUAUGACCCUGGGCAAGUUACUUAAUCUGGCUGUGCCCCAGUUUCCCCAUCUAUAACAUGGGGAUAAUAGCAGCAUAUACCUGCACAUAGUUAAGUGUUACAUAAGUGCACCCUAAAUAAUAAUUCACUGACAAUAAUGAGCUUAGACUAGACCAUACAUUCUCACCAAUAGCAAAAUUGCCCCCAAGGGAGCAAAAAUUGGUUCUUAGA
RNAcentral lists this long non-coding RNA (562 nucleotides) under Homo sapiens (human). RNAcentral describes it as "HSALNT0247953". The record is from RNAcentral. Lineage: Eukaryota; Metazoa; Chordata; Mammalia; Primates; Hominidae.